GGGCAAUUAGCUCAGUGGGAGAGCGCCCGCCUCACACGCGGGAGGUCGUUGGUUCAAAUCCAACAUUGCCCACCA
This 75-nucleotide transfer RNA is filed under the name Actinomycetota bacterium. RNAcentral describes it as "Actinobacteria bacterium (freshwater metagenome) tRNA-Val". It matches the Rfam family "tRNA". Rfam says of the family: Transfer RNA (tRNA) molecules are approximately 80 nucleotides in length. Their secondary structure includes four short double-helical elements and three loops (D, anti-codon, and T loops). The record is from RNAcentral. Lineage: Bacteria; Bacillati; Actinomycetota.